UACUAUACCCUCGAGUGGAUCUAUUAGGAUCCACACUUGAUUCGAGUGCAUCGAGUCAAUUUCUGACUUCAUUGUAUUUAACCAUUUCUCAAAAUCGAUGUCAGACAUCGUCUCAUCAAAGAUAUUCAGAUAAUCUUCAUGAUCCUUAUCUCCCAUAAGAAAUAUUUUUUUUACAUCCUCCGUAAGUAUACCCAUAUACCUUUCAAG
RNAcentral lists this long non-coding RNA (207 nucleotides) under Elaeis guineensis (African oil palm). RNAcentral describes it as "long non-coding RNA (EGUI_LNC020250)". The record is from RNAcentral. Lineage: Eukaryota; Viridiplantae; Streptophyta; Magnoliopsida; Arecales; Arecaceae.